AAAGAGGCUGCAGAUUCUUGGUGGACAGCUCUCAUAUCCCCUCCAGGGAAAAUGAUGAAAAAUGUCUUCAGAAAAAUAGCUUUAUGAAGGCAAGAGGACUUUUUGCACCUGCAAGACAUGUCUGAAAGCUCCACAGGUCAAAACACAAGUAGUCAAGAGAUUUGUCCAUCUAAUUCAUCAUACUACUCUGAUCCAAGUGAGACCCACACUGGGUCAGCUCCAUCAAGGAGAAGAACAUUCCACCCACGUUUGGAUUCUGGAAUAUCAUCCUUGCUUCCAUCAGAUUCUUGUAAGUACCUCACUUGGCACAAGAUAGAACAACAUGGCGUUCAAGAAAGUCAACUGCGUUGCCCAAGAGUAAGAGAAGGACCCUCUGAAGAAGAGCAACUUUUCAGACAGGUAGAGUGUGCCUUGCUCCCAAGGAAAAGAGUUCUUGAAAAAAACAAAUGGGAAACAUGGCUACAAGAAAACUGGGAAGACUGCAAGAAUUUGAACAUUUCAUUUCAGGAUUUGGGGGAUCCUUACCAGGUUGAAAAUUUUAACAGAAUUCUUAGAAGACUAAUUCGAGUUGAAACCCCCUGGUUAGUGGAUAAUUCACUGGUGGACUUAAGUGCCAUAAGAUUGCCAAGAGUAUUCUCCUGUUUGCCAAACUUAAAAAUGCUGGAUGGAAUCUUGAAGCUACCAGAAGAUUGCUUAUCACCAGAAACCAAUAUUUUUUCAAAAAUAUGCCUUGUAUCCUAAUGCAGUCUGUAUAGAAAGAAAGCAAUCAUCAUUUUUGCUAAAAGCUAAUAAACACAGGACAUGCAUGAUUAAAUAUUGCAGUUUAUUUUAUAUCUUUUUGCUUUUC
This 847-nucleotide long non-coding RNA is filed under the name Pan troglodytes (chimpanzee). Its description in RNAcentral is "long non-coding RNA NONPTRT011674". The record is from RNAcentral. Lineage: Eukaryota; Metazoa; Chordata; Mammalia; Primates; Hominidae.